This 253-nucleotide ribosomal RNA is filed under the name uncultured bacterium. RNAcentral's name for it is "partial 16S ribosomal RNA". It matches the Rfam family "Bacterial small subunit ribosomal RNA", at positions 524 to 776 of the family's 1533-position model. The record is from RNAcentral.
GACAGAGGUGCCGAGCGUUAGGCGGAAUCACUGGGCUUAAAGCGUGUGUAGGCGGCCCGUUAAGUGCCUCGUGAAAUCCCCCGGCUCAACCGGGGAACUGCCGGGCAUACUGGCGGGCUUGGGUCGCUCAGGGGCAGACGGAACAGGCGGUGGAGCGGUGAAAUGCGUAGAUAUCGGGAGGAACACCAAUGGCGAAGGCAGCUCGCUGGGACGGUACUGACGCUGAGACGCGAAAGCGUGGGGAGCAAACAGG